RNAcentral lists this long non-coding RNA (1193 nucleotides) under Rattus norvegicus (Norway rat). RNAcentral describes it as "long non-coding RNA NONRATT024737". The record is from RNAcentral. Lineage: Eukaryota; Metazoa; Chordata; Mammalia; Rodentia; Muridae.
CACAGAUGAACUAGUUCACGCUCCACUGACGCACUUCUGUAAGCAAGGUAGCCUGGGUUUCUCAUCCAAUAAGGAGCUUGGCGUCGUUCAGUUUCUAUGAACUUUCUUUACGUAUAUCGUCAUUUGUUGUUGAGUGCAAUUUUCAGAAAAACACAGGGCCAGGACUGUGGGGUGCUCAGUGUUAGCUUACUGGGGUGACGGAAUUUCCAGUGUCUGCACUCUGGUGUCUGAUGGAGCCUUGGCGUCCGACACUAACUACUCCGCCAGGCUCCCUGCCUACAGGAUGCAGAACAUCAGCCCACGAGGGAGGAAGUGGGGUAUGGCCCCGUGGCUGCUUAUGUAGACUUUUUAUCCCAGAGCUCCUGUGGCUGCCUGAGCACCAGCCCUGUGGUUUUGUACACACAAAACCUGAAAACACAAAAACACGUGCACAGCAAAGCCUGAACCAAAUGGCACAACCCACACAAGCUUAUCAGAAUUGGGCAAAACCCAUUAAGCUUAGAAGACAAGGGCCACUGUAGCUGUCCAGCGUAGAACUUCUUCUCAACUUCAAAGACAUGUCCUUGAAAUUUCAGCCCACUCAUUACUGAGUGGGCCCGUUUUGCUCUAGGGAAAACACAUUUUGAAAAUUGCCAAAAAGUCGGAAGAAAUGUACUACUGUAUAAAGCAAAGCUGUAUAUACUAAGUAAGCAUUUUUAGCAGAGGAAUAUUUAUUUGCAUAGCCUAUUUAUUUGUAUUCGUAUCACGCUGUUAUUAAACAUCAGGAUGAAAUCAAUGACCAGAAGCAAGGACUCUUGCCUUUGGACGUCUCAUUGCUUAGGACUGCCAUGAUGCUGUCAGCUUGGGAUAACAAUUAGAAGAUAGAAAGCCCACAGGCCGGGCAUCUACCUAACUUCUCAGGGACUACACCUCGUAGUUUUCCACCAUUAUAAGAGCUGGUAAAUAUGAAACAUUCGUUGACUUACCAGACUGCCAUUGACAGUGUUUGAUUUUUUUUUCUCAUAGUUCAUGCUCUCUGCCUCUGUGUAUAUGACUGUGCUGUGUAUUUAUCAAAGUAGGAAGCAAUAAUUUAUAUGUAAAAAAAAUGGCCAAGCAAUAUAAGGUUAAAACUUACGUAAGUAACCAUUACCUUAUCUUGUAUUUUCAAGUGUUUUUUAAAUCUGCUUUUCCAAAUAUAACACUAUGUUAAACAU